CGGCGAGCGAAAUUGGACUAGCCCUUAAGCUUUACACGCGUUAGACGAACGGUCUGGAAAGUCCGACGAUACAGGGUGAUAGUCCCGUAGUUGACGACGUGUGUUCAGUGAAAUCGAGUAGGGCGGGACACGUGAUAUCCUGUCUGAAUAUGGGGGGACCAUCCUCCAAGGCUAAAUACUACUGACUGACCGAUAGUGAACCAGUACCGUGAGGGAAAGGCGAAAAGAACCCCUGUGAGGGGAGUGAAAUAGAACCUGAAACCGUGUACGUACAAGCAGUAGGAGCAGGCUUGUCCUGUGACUGCGUACCUUUUGUAUAAUGGGUCAGCGACUUAUAUUCAGUGGCAAGGUUAACCAUCUAGGGGAGCCGUAGGGAAACCGAGUCUUAACUGGGCGUUCAGUCUCUGGAUAUAGACCCGAAACCAGGUGAUCUAGCCAUGGGCAGGUUGAAGGUUGAGUAACAUCAACUGGAGGACCGAACCGACUAAUGUUGAAAAAUUAGCGGAUGACUUGUGGCUAGGGGUGAAAGGCCAAUCAAACCUGGAGAUAGCUGGUUCUCCCCGAAAGCUAUUUAGGUAGCGCCUCGGACGAAUACUACUGGGGGUAGAGCACUGUUAAGGCUAGGGGGUCAUCCCGACUUACCAACCCUUUGCAAACUCCGAAUACCAGUAAGUACUAUCCGGGAGACACACGGCGGGUGCUAACGUCCGUCGUGGAGAGGGAAACAACCCAGACCGCCAGCUAAGGUCCCAAAUUACUACUAAGUGGGAAACGAUGUGGGAAGGCUCAGACAGCCAGGAUGUUGGCUUAGAAGCAGCCAUCAUUUAAAGAAAGCGUAAUAGCUCACUGGUCGAGUCGGCCUGCGCGGAAGAUGUAACGGGGCUAAGUAGUAAACCGAAGCUGCGGCAAUAUACUUUUGUAUAUUGGGUAGGGGAGCGUUCUGUAAGCGGUUGAAGGUGUGUGGUAACGCAUGCUGGACGUAUCAGAAGUGCGAAUGCUGACAUGAGUAACGAUAAAGGGGGUGAAAAACCUCCUCGCCGGAAGACCAAGGGUUCCUGUCCAACGUUAAUCGGGGCAGGGUAAGUCGACCCCUAAGGCGAGGCCGAAAGGCGUAGUCGAUGGGAAACGGGUUAAUAUUCCCGUACUUCUUACAAUUGCGAUGGGGGGACGGAGAAGGCUAGGUGGGCCUGGCGACGGUUGUCCAGGUUCAAGUGCGUAGGCUUAAGAGUUAGGUAAAUCCGGCUCUUUUUAAGGCUGAGACACGACGUCGAGCACCUACGGGUGUGAAGUCAUUGAUGCCAUGCUUCCAGGAAAAGCCUCUAAGCUUCAGAUUGUAAGGAAUCGUACCCCAAACCGACACAGGUGGUCGGGUAGAGAAUACCAAGGCGCUUGAGAGAACUCGGGUGAAGGAACUAGGCAAAAUGGUACCGUAACUUCGGGAGAAGGUACGCUCUUGAUGGUGAAGUCCCUUGCGGAUGGAGCUGACGAGAGUCGCAGAUACCAGGUGGCUGCAACUGUUUAUUAAAAACACAGCACUGUGCAAAAUCGUAAGAUGACGUAUACGGUGUGACGCCUGCCCGGUGCCGGAAGGUUAAUUGAUGGGGUUAGACUUCGGUCGAAGCUCUUGAUCGAAGCCCCGGUAAACGGCGGCCGUAACUAUAACGGUCCUAAGGUAGCGAAAUUCCUUGUCGGGUAAGUUCCGACCUGCACGAAUGGCGUAAUGAUGGCCACGCUGUCUCCACCCGAGACUCAGUGAAAUUGAAAUCGCUGUGAAGAUGCAGUGUACCCGCGGCUAGACGGAAAGACCCCGUGAACCUUUACUACAGCUUGGCACUGAACAUUGACCCUACAUGUGUAGGAUAGGUGGGAGGCUUUGAAGCACGUACGCCAGUAUGUGUGGAGCCGUCCUUGAAAUACCACCCUUGUAGUGUUGAUGUUCUAACGUCGACCCCUUAUCGGGGUUGCGGACAGUGCCUGGUGGGUAGUUUGACUGGGGCGGUCUCCUCCCAAAGAGUAACGGA
Molecule: ribosomal RNA, 2021 nt
Filed under: Vibrio parahaemolyticus
Lineage: Bacteria; Pseudomonadati; Pseudomonadota; Gammaproteobacteria; Vibrionales; Vibrionaceae
Description: bacterial LSU rRNA
Rfam family: Bacterial large subunit ribosomal RNA
Source: RNAcentral